RNAcentral lists this transfer RNA (103 nucleotides) under Lachnellula hyalina. It matches the Rfam family "tRNA". From Rfam's summary of the family: Transfer RNA (tRNA) molecules are approximately 80 nucleotides in length. Lineage: Eukaryota; Fungi; Ascomycota; Leotiomycetes; Helotiales; Lachnaceae. The record is from Rfam by way of RNAcentral.
GGGAGUCUGGCCGAGUGGUUAAGGCGCUGUGUUUAGGUGGUCUCAUGGACACUUCGACGAUCCGCAGUGGGAAACCGCGCAGGUUCGAAUCCUGCGGCUCUCA